AAGCCAUGAUUUGAGAAUUUUAUCAGCAUCACUUUGAAUCUCUCCCAUGUCUCAUAUAAGGCUUUAUCAGCAUCAUUUGUCUGAACAUAGAAAUAUUAGACUUUGCUU
This 108-nucleotide small nucleolar RNA is filed under the name Phaseolus vulgaris (common bean). Its description in RNAcentral is "Plant small nucleolar RNA R71". It matches the Rfam family "Plant small nucleolar RNA R71". Rfam says of the family: R71 is a member of the C/D box family of snoRNAs containing the C (UGAUGA) and D (CUGA) box motifs. Multiple nearly identical copies of this snoRNA have been identified in Arabidopsis, and it is thought to function as a 2'-O-ribose methylation guide for 18S ribosomal RNA. The record is from Rfam by way of RNAcentral. Lineage: Eukaryota; Viridiplantae; Streptophyta; Magnoliopsida; Fabales; Fabaceae.